CUCUACUUUCCAUGCAUGCUCCUGUUUUCUCUACGCGCGGAGAGGCCACUGUGUGCGUAAAACCUGUUUUCUAAUUUGCGCUUGAGCCGCAGUAGUGACAGUUCAAACCCGGGUUAUUCUUCUUCACAUUUAGUUUCUCUUCCCGGUAAUUCAUCAUGUCAGAAACCCCUGUUGGAUAAUUAAAUCUCAGAGCCGGGACGGAUAUUUUGUGAGAGAAUAUUUCUAUAAUGUCCCUGUAAAUAUACUAUGGUGUACGGAUAGAGGUAAACGAACUCUCCUCAUUCAGUCAGAUUCAAUCCUUCAUUGGAUAACAAGCGACCGUCUAGAACUGUCAGCAUGAGUUACACAUCUACAGACUAAACAUUAAAGUGAAAAAACAAAGUUAAAAUACAACAAGUUUUAGUU
Long non-coding RNA from Eurytemora carolleeae, 405 nucleotides. RefSeq lists it as uncharacterized. The record is from RefSeq and is a predicted model, not a curated record. The transcript is spliced from 2 exons. Lineage: Eukaryota; Metazoa; Arthropoda; Copepoda; Calanoida; Temoridae.